This 465-nucleotide ribosomal RNA is filed under the name Vreelandella stevensii. Its description in RNAcentral is "partial 16S ribosomal RNA". It matches the Rfam family "Bacterial small subunit ribosomal RNA", at positions 338 to 795 of the family's 1533-position model. The record is from RNAcentral. Lineage: Bacteria; Pseudomonadati; Pseudomonadota; Gammaproteobacteria; Oceanospirillales; Halomonadaceae.
CCUACGGGGCGCAGCAGUGGGGAAUAUUGGACAAUGGGCGAAAGCCUGAUCCAGCCAUGCCGCGUGUGUGAAGAAGGCCUUCGGGUUGUAAAGCACUUUCAGUGGGGAAGAAAGCCUUGGGGCUAAUACCCUCGAGGAAGGACAUCACCCACAGAAGAAGCACCGGCUAACUCCGUGCCAGCAGCCGCGGUAAUACGGAGGGUGCGAGCGUUAAUCGGAAUUACUGGGCGUAAAGCGCGCGUAGGCGGUCUGAUAAGCCGGUUGUGAAAGCCCCGGGCUCAACCUGGGAACGGCAUCCGGAACUGUCAGGCUAGAGUGCAGGAGAGGAAGGUAGAAUUCCCGGUGUAGCGGUGAAAUGCGUAGAGAUCGGGAGGAAUACCAGUGGCGAAGGCGGCCUUCUGGACCGACACUGACGCUGAGGUGCGAAAGCGUGGGUAGCAAACAGGAUUAGAUACCCUUGUAGUC